Molecule: ribosomal RNA, 391 nt
Filed under: Propylea quattuordecimpunctata
Lineage: Eukaryota; Metazoa; Arthropoda; Insecta; Coleoptera; Coccinellidae
Description: Propylea quatuordecimpunctata partial 12S ribosomal RNA
Source: RNAcentral
AGAGGGACGGGGGAGGUGUGCAUAUUUUAGUGCUUAAUCAUUAAAAAUGUAUAUAUAAUUACUUUCAAAUCCAAUUUCUAAAAAUUUUUAAAAUUACUUUUCCAACAAAUAAAAUUUAUUGUAACCCAUCUCAUUCUUAAAUAUUAACUUCACCUUGAUUUGAUUUAUUUUCUUAUAAAAAAAAAUAAAUAUUAAAUUCUUUUAAAAUAUUUAAUAACAACGAUAUAAAAAUUUCUAUUUUAAGUUAAUUCAAUCGUGGAAUAUCAAUUACUGGACAGGUUCCUCUGAAAAGAUUAAAAUACCGCCAAAUCAUUUAGCUUUAAAGAACUUAACUAUUAAUCACUUAGUUUUAAAAUUUACAUUUUUAAUAAUAGGGUAUCUAAUCCUAGUU